RNAcentral lists this ribosomal RNA (496 nucleotides) under uncultured bacterium. RNAcentral's name for it is "partial 16S ribosomal RNA". It matches the Rfam family "Bacterial small subunit ribosomal RNA", at positions 29 to 507 of the family's 1533-position model. The record is from RNAcentral.
AUGAACGCUGGCGGCGUGCCUAAUACAUGCCAGUCGAGCGAACGGACGAGAAGCUUGCUUUUCUGAUGUUAGCGGCGGACGGGUGAGUAACACGUGGAUAACCUACCUAUAAGACUGGGAUAACUUCGGGAAACCGGAGCUAAUACCGGAUAAUAUUUUGAACCGCAUGGUUCAAAAGUGAAAGACGGUCUUGCUGUCACUUAUAGAUGGAUCCGCGCUGCAUUAGCUAGUUGGUAAGGUAACGGCUUACCAAGGCAACGAUGCAUGGCCGACCUGAGAGGGUGAUCGGCCACACUGGAACUGAGACACGGUCCAGACUCCUACGGGAGGCAGCAGUAGGGAAUCUUCCGCAAUGGGCGAAAGCCUGACGGAGCAACGCCGCGUGAGUGAUGAAGGUCUUCGGAUCGUAAAACUCUGUUAUUAGGGAAGAACAUAUGUGUAAGUAACUGUGCACAUCUUGACGGUACCUAAUCAGAAAGCCACGGCUAACUACGUG